CGGGCGCGGCGAACGGUCUAAGUCCCUUGGAACGGGGCGUCAGAGAGGGUGAGAAUCCCGUAUGUGACCGGCGACCAAGCCCAUGUGAAACUCCUUCGACGAGUCGAGUUGUUUGGGAAUGCAGCUCAAAAUGGGUGGUAAAUUUCAUCUAAAGCUAAAUACCGGCCAGAGACCGAUAGCGCACAAGUAGAGUGAUCGAAAGAUGAAAAGCACUUUGGAAAGAGAGUCAAAAAGUACGUGAAAUUGUUGAAAGGGAAGCGCUUGCAACCAGACCUGCCCGCGGGCGAUCCGCUGUCCCUCCGGGGGCGGUGUACUCGCCCGCGAUCAGGCCAGCAUCGGUUCGGGCGGCCGGAUAAAGGCCCUGGGAACGUGGCUCCUCUCGGGGAGUGUUAUAGCCCUCGGUGCAAUGCGGCCAGCCCGGACCGAGGACCGCGCUUCGGCUAGGAUGCUGGCGUAAUGGUUGUAAGCGGCCCGUCUUGAAACACGGACCAAGGAGUCUAACAUCUAUGCGAGUGUUUGGGUGUCAAACCCAUGCGCGUAAUGAAAGUGAACGGAGGUGGGAACCCGCGAGGGCGCACCAUCGACCGAUCCAGAUGUCUUCGGAUGGAUUUGAGUACGAGCAUAGCUGUUGGGACCCGAAAGAUGGUGAACUAUACUUGAAUAGGGUGAAGCCAGAGGAAACUCUGGUGGAGGCUCGCAGCGGUUCUGACGUGCAAAUCGAUCGUCAAAUUUGAGUAUAGGGGCGAAAGACUAAUCGAACCAU
RNAcentral lists this ribosomal RNA (763 nucleotides) under Caloplaca turkuensis. Its description in RNAcentral is "partial large subunit ribosomal RNA". It matches the Rfam family "Eukaryotic large subunit ribosomal RNA", at positions 165 to 943 of the family's 3401-position model. Lineage: Eukaryota; Fungi; Ascomycota; Lecanoromycetes; Teloschistales; Teloschistaceae. The record is from RNAcentral.